CCCCUCGGGGGCAGGUUUCCCGGGAUGCCUGCUGAGGAGAGCCGGGCCCCGACCACCCACGGAGCCUCCCCUCUUUACCCCAGUCAGGGGUCUGGCCCCUCUCUUGGGGGGCGCUACGGCCCUGCCGUGAAGGGGAGUCCGGGAAGAAGGUGGCUGGCCAGAGAGAUGUCCUUGGGGAGGGGUAGGUAGAUGUUUGCCUCUGAGAUGGGGUGGGUGGAUCUGGGUCACGGGGAGGGAGGGAGGGAAGGGACAAACUGUCAUCCCUGGGUGCCUGGAUGGUUGGGUGGACGGGGAGGCAGACGGGUGGGUCGGAUGGAUGGAGGGAGGUGGGUGGAUGGUUGGGUGGACGGGGAGGCAGGCGGGUGGGUCGGGUUGAUGAGGAGGCAGGCGGGAGGUUUGGACGGACGGGGAGGCAGGUGGGAUGGACGGGAAGGCAGGCAGGUGGGUGGAUUGGGCAGAUGGGGAGGCAGGUGGGAUGGACGGGAAGGCAGGCAGGUGGGUCGGGCUGAUGGGGAGGCAGGCAGGCGGGUGGAUUGGGCAGAUGGGGAGGCAGGUGGGAUGGACGGGAAGGCAGGCAGGUGGGUCGGGCUGAUGGGGAGGCAGGCGGGUGGGUCGGGCGGACGUGGAGGCAGGCGGGUGGGUCGGGCGGACGGGGAGGCAGGCGGGUGGGUUGGAUGGACGGGGAGGCAGGUGGGAUGGACGGGAAGGCAGGCAGGUUGGUCGGGCUGAUGGGGAGGCAGGCAGGCGGGUG
This is a long non-coding RNA of Gopherus flavomarginatus (Mexican gopher tortoise), 751 nucleotides long. RefSeq lists it as uncharacterized. The record is from RefSeq and is a predicted model, not a curated record. The transcript is spliced from 3 exons. NCBI's taxonomy places the organism in Eukaryota, Metazoa, Chordata, Testudines, Testudinidae.